Molecule: transfer RNA, 64 nt
Filed under: Buthus occitanus (common European scorpion)
Lineage: Eukaryota; Metazoa; Arthropoda; Arachnida; Scorpiones; Buthidae
Description: tRNA-Asn
Source: RNAcentral
UUAAUUAAAGCUUUUAUAUUGAAGCGGCUCAUUGUUACUGGGAAGAAGAGAAAACCUAAUUAAA